CGGGGUGCAGCAGGCGCGAAACCUCUGCAAUAGGCGAAAGCCUGACAGGGUUACUCUGAGUGAUUCCCGCUAAGGGGAUCUUUUGGCACCUCUAAAAAUGGUGCAGAAUAAGGGGUGGGCAAGCCUGGUGUCAGCCGCCGCGGUAAUACCAGCACCCCGAGUGGUCGGGACGAUUAUUGGGCCUAAAGCAUCCGUAGCCGGCCACGCAAGUCCUCCGUUAAAUCCACCCGCUCAACGGUUGGGCUGCGGAGGAUACUACGUGGCUAGGAGGCGGGAGAGGCAAGCGGUACUCAAUGGGUAGGGGUAAAAUCCUUUGAUCCAUUGAAGACCACCAGUGGCGAAGGCGGCUUGCCAGAACGCGCUCGACGGUGAGGGAUGAAAGCUGGGGGAGCAAACCGGAUUAGAUACCCGGGUAGUCCCAGCUGUAGACGAUGCAGACUCGGUGAUGGGAUGGCCUCGAGCCAUCCCAGUGCCGCAGGGAAGCCGUUAAGUCUGCCGCCUGGGGAGUACGGUCGCAAGACUGAAACUUAAAGGAAUG
Molecule: ribosomal RNA, 538 nt
Filed under: uncultured archaeon
Lineage: Archaea
Description: bacterial SSU rRNA
Rfam family: Archaeal small subunit ribosomal RNA
Source: RNAcentral